GACGAACGCUGGCGGCGUGCUUAACACAUGCAAGUCGAACGGAAAUGCCCUGCUUUUGUGGGGUGCUCGAGUGGCGAACGGGUUAGUAACACGUGAGUAACCUGCCCUUGACUUUGGGAUAACUUCAGAAAACUGGGGCUAAUACCGGAUAGGAGCUCCUGCUGCAUGGUGGGGGUUGGAAAGUUUCGGCGGUUGGGGAUGUACGCGCGGUUUAUCAGCUUGUUGGUGGGGUAGUGGCUUACCAAGGCUUUGACGGGUAGCCGUCCUGAGAGGGUGACCGGCCACAUUGGGACUGAGAUAGGGCCCAGAAUCCUACGGGAGGCAGUAGGGGGGAAUAUUGCACAAUGGGCGGAAGCCGGAUGCAGCAACGCCGCGUGCGGGAUGACGGCCUUCGGGUGAUAAACCGCUUUCGCCUGUGACGAAGAGUGAGUGACGGUAAUGAGUAAAGAAGCACCGGCUAACUACGUG
Molecule: ribosomal RNA, 468 nt
Filed under: uncultured bacterium
Lineage: Bacteria
Description: partial 16S ribosomal RNA
Rfam family: Bacterial small subunit ribosomal RNA
Source: RNAcentral